This is a long non-coding RNA of Nymphalis io (European peacock), 176 nucleotides long. RefSeq lists it as uncharacterized. The transcript has 2 exons. The record is from RefSeq and is a predicted model, not a curated record. Lineage: Eukaryota; Metazoa; Arthropoda; Insecta; Lepidoptera; Nymphalidae.
AUUCGGCGAGUAGGCUCUAAGGGGGCGUCGCCCUGUCCAAAGCUCUGCGAAUACUUGGCUCCUUUUGGUGAAGAGAAUUAAUAAAAAAAGAAUAACUUUUCAUAUUUAGAAUCUCGACUGAACGUACAUACUCUUUCGUUCUUCGAUGUGUAAAUAAAAUUAAAUUGGACACUAUU